This 520-nucleotide ribosomal RNA is filed under the name uncultured Glomus. Its description in RNAcentral is "SSU rRNA". It matches the Rfam family "Eukaryotic small subunit ribosomal RNA", at positions 569 to 1089 of the family's 1831-position model. The record is from RNAcentral. Lineage: Eukaryota; Fungi; Glomeromycota; Glomeromycetes; Glomerales; Glomeraceae.
AGCAGCCGCGGUAAUUCCAGCUCCAAUAGCGUAUAUUAAAGUUGUUGCAGUUAAAAAGCUCGUAGUUGAAUUUCGGGAUCAAUUAAUUGGUCGUGCCUCUGGUACGUACUGGUUUUAUUGGUUUCUCCCUUCUGACGAACCAUGAUGUCAUUAAUUUGGUGUCGUGGAGAAUCAGGACUGUUACUUUGAAAAAAUUAGAGUGUUUAAAGCAAGCUAACGCUUGAAUACAUUAGCAUGGAAUAAUGAAAUAGGACGUUUGAUCCUAUUUUGUUGGUUUCUAGGAUCGACGUAAUGAUUAAUAGGGAUAGUUGGGGGCAUUAGUAUUCAAUUGUCAGAGGUGAAAUUCUUGGAUUUAUUGAAGACUAACUACUGCGAAAGCAUUUGCCAAGGAUGUUUUCAUUAAUCAAGAACGAAAGUUAGGGGAUCGAAGACGAUCAGAUACCGUCGUAGUCUUAACCAUAAACCUAUGCCGACUAGGGAUCGGGUGAUGUUAAUUUUUUAAUGACUCAUUCGGCGCCUU